CGGAGAGCUGCAGAGUGAAGAUAGUGCAGGAUAUUCUGGUAGCAUUGAAAUUCUACAAGGUAAUUUAAUGGAAAAGAGGCUUGUGCUGUUUAUAUCUGGAGCAUCUUGAGCGCCUAUGGAAAACUAAUAUCAACUUACAAUUAAAUGAAAAGGAACCUCGAAUUGAUUUGGAGCAAAUAGACUUGCAGCGGAAGAGUUUUGUGCAAUAGCGUUCCGAAGCUCAGCGCUGAUUGUGAUGUGUUUUCAAAAAAGAAGAAAUGGACCGGCCGAAUUAAGUGAUUUUAGUGUUUUGUUGCAAAAGGAGCUAUAUAGUGAUAAGGAAAAUUGGAGGGACGUAUGCACAAGUUCGGAUUUUUACCAAGACCAAAAUCUUUCGGAAUUAAGGAGCUUCAUCCUUCGACUUACUUAAACGCAAUGUAAAGGUAUACUAUG
Neocloeon triangulifer is the source of this 432-nucleotide long non-coding RNA. RefSeq lists it as uncharacterized. The record is from RefSeq and is a predicted model, not a curated record. NCBI's taxonomy places the organism in Eukaryota, Metazoa, Arthropoda, Insecta, Ephemeroptera, Baetidae. The transcript is spliced from 3 exons.